GUGAAGAUGCAGUGUACCCGCGGCAAGACGGAAAGACCCCGUGAACCUUUACUAUAGCUUGACACUGAACACUGGUCCUUGAUGUGUAGGAUAGGUGGGAGGCUUUGAAGUGUGGACGCCAGUCUGCGUGGAGCCAUCCUUGAAAUACCACCCUUUAAUGGCUGGUGUUCUAACGUGGGCCCGUUAUCCGGGUUGCGGACAGUGUCUGGUGGGUAGUUUGACUGGGGCGGUCUCCUCC
RNAcentral lists this ribosomal RNA (238 nucleotides) under Klebsiella grimontii. RNAcentral's name for it is "partial 23S ribosomal RNA". It matches the Rfam family "Bacterial large subunit ribosomal RNA", at positions 2053 to 2290 of the family's 2925-position model. Lineage: Bacteria; Pseudomonadati; Pseudomonadota; Gammaproteobacteria; Enterobacterales; Enterobacteriaceae. The record is from RNAcentral.